RNAcentral lists this long non-coding RNA (1019 nucleotides) under Nicotiana benthamiana. Its description in RNAcentral is "long non-coding RNA (NBEN_LNC039853)". The record is from RNAcentral. Lineage: Eukaryota; Viridiplantae; Streptophyta; Magnoliopsida; Solanales; Solanaceae.
AGGAUUCAAAACUCUAAAUGAAUAUUGGUCACAUGUAAUUAAAGCCAAAUGACUAAUAUGGGUCAACUUCUUGAAAAUGCCCAAAGGAAACCAAAUAGUAAAGAAACACACGAGCAGUAAUCAGCAUAACAAAAACGCGCAAAUAAAUUCUACUAAGGCAUCGCAAACAAAACGAAACACUAAUUCAAAAGAUCGAUGCAAUGGAUCAAAAUAAGACUAACGAGACUAACGGGAGCAUUGGAUUAAGCUAAAAUAGUAAAAUAAAGGGAUAAAUAAACCCCGGAUAGAUAUGAAAUCCGAUUUUUGGACAGUUAAACGAUGCUAGGCAACUGAAACGUGCACAAGAUCCAAACUGAACCUCGCCGGAAAACCUCAUCGAGCUCUGGACGGGCUGCCUCGCUAUCUCCUUGUUCUGCUACGUCUAUGCAUGGGUGAAGGAGUUCUGUUUGGAGCCUUUUUUGUGGUGAUGGACGACUGAUCUCGUUGGAGAAUAGCAGGGGUCACUGGUUCGUGGUCGUUGGCCAUUUUCUGGCGAGUUUUCGUGGCUGAGGGCCCGCGGCUGUGCUUCUCUUCUAGGGUUUUAAAGGGUUGACAGCGGUUCUAGGGUGUUAUGGACGAAGAAGAAGGAAAUGGAUGGGGCUGGUGGUGGUUGUGCGAUGUGGCGGCGGGCUGUUGGUGGUUGACAUGGAGCUGGACGCUGGUGGUUGUAGUGCUGGUCGGCAGCAAUCGCUUAGGCUUAAUGGAGACUAAGGUUUUUUGUUGUAUUUAUCUCCAUUGUUGUCUUUUUGUUAUGGUGUUCAAGUCUUGGUGAGGAAGAUGAAGAUGGCUAGGGUUGGUCUUGAAGAUGGAGAGGAAGAAUUGAGUUUGGUCCUAUGUCUUGCCGGAUUUAUAUUUGGGAUUCAAAAUAUACAAAAUUGGGCCAAAAGAACUAAAAAUUCAAAUUAAAUACCUAUAAAACUCUACAUUAAUUAAUGAUAAACUAUUAGUGUUAAAAAUAAAACUAAAAAUUAAAGUUGGAA